GCGCACGGGUGAGUAACACGUAUGUAAUCUGCCUUUAGGUGGGGGAUAACUUCGGGAAACCGGAGCUAAUACCGCAUAAUGCAGCGGGGCCGCAUGGCCACAGUUGUUAAAGAUUUAUUGCCUAGAGAUGAACAUGCGUCGCAUUAGCUAGUKGGCGGGGUAACGGCCCACCAAGGCGAUGAUGCGUAGCUGGUCUGAGAGGAUGAUCAGCCACACUGGCACUGAGACACGGGCCAGACUCCUACGGGAGGCAGCAGUGAGGAAUAUUGCGCAAUGGAGGAAACUCUGACGCAGCCACGCCGCGUGCAGGAAGAAGGUCCUAUGGAUCGUAAACUGCUUUUAUUCGGGACGAAUGGGAAGGUUUCGACCUUGAGUGACGGUACCGAUUGAAUAAGCACCGGCUAACUCCGUGCCAGCAGCCGCGGUAAUACGGAGGGUGCAAGCGUUGUCCGGAAUCAUUGGGUGUAAAGGGUGCGUAGGCGGGUUUUUAAGUCUGGGGUGAAAGUCUGCGGCUCAACCGUAGGAUUGCCUUGGAUACUGGAGACCUUGAGUGUAACAGAGGCCGGUAGAAUUCGUGGUGUAGCGGUGAAAUGCAUAGAUAUCACGAAGAAUACCAGUGGCGUAGGCGGCCGGCUGGGUUACAACUGACGCUGAGGCACGAGAGCGUGGGGAGCAAACAGGAUUAGAUACCCUGGUAGUCCACGCCGUAAACGAUGUAUACUAGGUGUUGGG
This 732-nucleotide ribosomal RNA is filed under the name uncultured bacterium. RNAcentral describes it as "bacterial SSU rRNA". It matches the Rfam family "Bacterial small subunit ribosomal RNA", at positions 98 to 827 of the family's 1533-position model. The record is from RNAcentral.